RNAcentral lists this long non-coding RNA (2204 nucleotides) under Chloebia gouldiae (Gouldian finch). RNAcentral describes it as "Erythrura gouldiae (Gouldian finch) lncRNA (ENSEGOG00005008862.1)". The record is from RNAcentral. Lineage: Eukaryota; Metazoa; Chordata; Aves; Passeriformes; Passeridae.
AUGCUGCUAAGGACAAUUUGCAACUGCAUCAAAACCUUUGCUGGAAGUAAGGGAAAACAAUGCUUGGUGAUGACAUGUGUCUCACCCCACAGCAAGAGCCGCAGUUCCACAGCCCAGUUCAACCUGUCCCCUGCUCUGCACAGGCUGGGCUCCCCAGCCCUGACCUACACAGUCCCCAGAGGGAAUGCUGCAGCGUCUCCUUGUGCAACUCUGGGGCACCUCUGCCACUGCUUCAAGUGGCCAGCCUGUGUGAUGGACAAGCAAAGGAUUUCCACAGAGCACCCUCCACAUCCAGGCACCUGCAGGUGGUGCCUAAAGAUGGGCACUGCAGGGAUUUGCUCUUCACUUUUCUUUUCAAUAAACUGUCUCCAAUAAUUGCCUUUGCUUUAGAGCUGAAGGCCUCUGGAGUACUGAACAACUGUUAUUUCUAGUACAAUGGGAUCGUUGCCUGUAAUGUUAUCCCUUAAUUGCUACUGUGGUGCAAAUUAUGAAAAGCAAGAAUAUCCAAAUAUAGAGACACUUGGCCCUUGUGACAGGAAAUUAAGGUCUCUUCUCUGGCACUGCUGCAUGUCCUGAACUCCCACUCAAGUCAAAAUGAAUUACAUACAUUCAAUAUUUUGAAAAACAAGCUCUUAACCUCUACAAAUGAGCUUGUAGAGUUCAUAUCAAGUGUGUUCUGGCUAUCCCUAUAAAUGUCCAAUCCUAUUUCAGAUCCUACUAAUCUCCUGGGCAUCCUUGUACCUUCACAGUUAAUGGCAAAAUUUGGCUGGAAAGGAGGAAGUGUAUCUAAAAAAAUAAUUAAUAACUCUGUGGAUGUAUUAUAUUUUGAAGUUUUAGUGGUUUGGAUUGAUUAAUUGGGUUUUUUAUGGUAAGAAAAAACAAGCAAAUGUUUCCAUAUCGUCCACAAUAUAAAAUCUCCUAUCUUUCUUCCUAUUUUUGACACUUUGAGAGUCUACCACUUUCAGCAUCUUGGAUAGAAGAUUUUCUGUACCUGUUCAUGCCUUACUCUGGCUAUACUCCUCGAAGCAGUAAUGACCACAACAAAGGCUUCUGAGAAUGAGUGUGUUAUCUCUACAGUGCCUUUUUAAUAUUUCAGGAAUUAAGAGCCUAAAUGUUUAAUCUCCACUGUGAAGUGUCUGAAAAGCAUGGUAUUGUCAAACAGAAGUGGUAAACUGCUGAGGAAAGUUCCAAUAUUUCUCUUACUGAUGUCAGUGGGAAUUUUGCCAGGAAGCUCAGCAUGAUAAGGGUAUAGACCAAAGUAAUCAGUUCUACAGAUGAUUACAUGAAAAGCUCUUCAUUAUAGCAUGAUGAUUGAGUAUUAUUGCAGUCAUGAGACACAGAUAUCUUCUGGAGCCAAAACCAAGAAAAAGAAUGUAUUAAGGCUAUUCCUCCUCCGAGUUGGGCCUGUUUGGCAGUGGCCUUUCAUCAGAUGACUUUUCACAGGUUAGCACAGCUACUUUGGUUUUAGCCACAGCUUGAUACGCACAGCAAAAUGAGCCCACAUUUCCUUCUCCACAGUUCCUCUCUGCUAAAGGUUUCUCAGCCCAUGAAAGCCAUGUCCUUUGGUAAGUAAAAUAUUUUUGGCAAACUCAGGAACAUUACACUUAAGUUGUCCAUCUUCUCACUUCAGUUCAAGUUCAGUCUUGCUCCACAGGUGCCUCUUCUCUUCCAGGCUGGAGAAGGGCACGUAGUUAACGCUCGUGUGUGAUGGCUGAUGCCUUGACGAAGGGACAAUGUGGCACAGACCCCCAGAGCCAAACACUCGCUUCUGCAGCCUCACCCAGCCUGCCCAGUGCCGGAGCCGAGAGCAGCAGGGAGCAGGAGCUCAUGGCCCUGACUGGGCACUGAGGGCACAGAUGAUGUGUGCAAGACAACGGGGCGCCCUUGCAAACGCAUUCAGGAUCUUCACGGUUCUUCAGAGAGCAUUUGUUAGGCAGAUACAUUGAUGUAGUUUUGAACAAUUCAUCCAAGAAAGUGAAGCUGCACAGUACCCUGCAAAAGCAAAGUCUGCAUGAAGAUGGGAAUAUACGAGAGUUCGUAUUAACUUUGGAUUAAAGUGUUUUAUUAUCACUUAUGUGUAAGGAGGUUAAUUUUCUCUCUAUUACUUGGGGGUCAAACAAAAGCCUGCGUUCCCUCAAAUCAGUCCUUUGUCAGCUUAGCAAAAUCUGUAUUAAUAAAGACAAAAUGUAAAUAUUUAUAAAACA